GAUGAACGCUGGCGGCGUGCCUAAUACAUGCAAGUCGAGCGAACAGACGAGGAGCUUGCUCCUCUGACGUUAGCGGCGGACGGGUGAGUAACACGUGGAUAACCUACCUAUAAGACCGGGAUAACUUCGGGAAACCGGAGCUAAUACCGGAUAAUAUAUUGAACCGCAUGGUUCAAUAGUGAAAGACGGUUUUGCUGUCACUUAUAGAUGGAUCCGCGCCGCAUUAGCUAGUUGGUAAGGUAACGGCUUACCAAGGCAACGAUGCGUAGCCGACCUGAGAGGGUGAUCGGCCACACUGGAACUGAGACACGGUCCAGACUCCUACGGGAGGCAGCAGUAGGGAAUCUUCCGCAAUGGGCGAAAGCCUGACGGAGCAACGCCGCGUGAGUGAAGAAGGUCUUCGGAUCGUAAAACUCUGUUAUUAGGGAAGAACAAAUGUGUAAGUAACUAUGCACGUCUUGACGGUACCUAAUCAGAAAGCCACGGCUAACUACGUG
Molecule: ribosomal RNA, 497 nt
Filed under: uncultured bacterium
Lineage: Bacteria
Description: partial 16S ribosomal RNA
Rfam family: Bacterial small subunit ribosomal RNA
Source: RNAcentral